CUUCUAGGAGCAGCUAACAAGAAUCCUAAUACAGGAGUGUUUAUGGUUGGGUUGAGACACAUUCAGGAGCUGAGUGAUUGACAGCAAGAGGAGCAAGACAUGAGGUUAAUAAUUAUCAAAUAUAUGGCAAUGCUGGACUUUAGCUGACCAUCGUGCUUCUGGAAAACAACAAAAACUGAGAUAUCUGUUCACCAUUUUGUGCGUCCAAGGACCACCUACUUUUUACAUGUGACAAGAACUACCCACCUCCACUCUUCAGGAUAGAACAUGCUGAAGAAAAGAGUUGCAAUGAGAAAAUAUAUGGGAACAAAAUACCUAUGCAAUGCAGAAGUCUGCAUAACUGAACCACUCAGAGGAGAAAAGUUGUUGCUGGCAGAUCUAAACAGGUCAUUGAAACUCUACCAACAGAAGACACCUCGAAGCUUGAGUCUGGUUUUACUUGGACCUUGUCCCACAGACCUCUUCCUUUUGCUGAUUGUAAUCUGUAUUCUUUCACUCUUAAAAAUAUUGCCAUUUCAGGACACUUCCUACAUCUGAGGAAAUAUGCAUUCAUCUUGCAGUACUUUUCUCCUCCAAAUAAAAGUCAGUAUGAUAACAA
Gorilla gorilla gorilla (western lowland gorilla) is the source of this 598-nucleotide long non-coding RNA. RefSeq lists it as uncharacterized. The record is from RefSeq and is a predicted model, not a curated record. The transcript has 5 exons. NCBI's taxonomy places the organism in Eukaryota, Metazoa, Chordata, Mammalia, Primates, Hominidae.